GGUGGCUCAGUGGCAGAGCGCUUGCUUUGCAUGCAUGAGGCCCUGGGUUCGAUUCCCCAGCACCA
Molecule: transfer RNA, 65 nt
Filed under: Dipodomys ordii (Ord's kangaroo rat)
Lineage: Eukaryota; Metazoa; Chordata; Mammalia; Rodentia; Heteromyidae
Rfam family: tRNA
About the family: Transfer RNA (tRNA) molecules are approximately 80 nucleotides in length. Their secondary structure includes four short double-helical elements and three loops (D, anti-codon, and T loops). Further hydrogen bonds mediate the characteristic L-shaped molecular structure. tRNAs have two regions of fundamental functional importance: the anti-codon, which is responsible for specific mRNA codon recognition, and the 3' end, to which the tRNAs corresponding amino acid is attached (by aminoacyl-tRNA synthetases). tRNAs cope with the degeneracy of the genetic code in two manners: having more than one tRNA (with a specific anti-codon) for a particular amino acid; and 'wobble' base-pairing, i.e. permitting non-standard base-pairing at the 3rd anti-codon position.
Source: Rfam by way of RNAcentral